UACGGGGGGGAGCAAGCGUUGUUCGGAUUUACUGGGCGUAAAGGGCGCGUAGGCGGCCAGCACAAGUCAGUUGUGAAAUCUCCGAGCUUAACUCGGAACGGUCAACUGAUACUGUGCGGCUAGAGUGCGGAAGGGGCAACUGGAAUUCUUGGUGUAGCGGUGAAAUGCGUAGAUAUCAAGAGGAACACCUGCGGCGAAGGCGGGUUGCUGGGCCGACACUGACGCUGAGGCGCGAAAGCCCAGGGGAGCGAACGGG
This 256-nucleotide ribosomal RNA is filed under the name uncultured bacterium. RNAcentral describes it as "partial 16S ribosomal RNA". It matches the Rfam family "Bacterial small subunit ribosomal RNA", at positions 524 to 776 of the family's 1533-position model. The record is from RNAcentral.